CAGCAAAAGUGUCCUACCAAGCAGUGCGAUACUCGAGAAAAACUUCGACCAGCGAUAACCGUAAUCCUGAUGACAACCCUCGGAGUCCGGAAAGAGGAUCGCUGAGGCAAUCCAUCACACCGUCGCUCUUGGCGGUUUCCCUAUUGAUGUGGCGAAGAGGAUCCAGUUUUUUCGCCGGAUUUGUCCAUAGAAUCACCGGUGCCGGAAAUCGCCAUCUGGUGGAGUUCUGCGCCGGAAGGAUGAAUCUGGUCAACAAGAUGGUUCACCCGGAAAACCGGAAGAGGCUGGUCUACGUGUACCAGGCAGAAAACGGGUUGAUCCACAUUUGCUGGAAGAAUCGCACGACGGGAAACGUGGAGGACGAUCUGAUUGUGUUUCCAGACGAUGGCGAGUUUAAAAAGAUCGAGAACGUAAAUAAUGGGCGGGUGUUCCUGUUGAAGUUUAAGAGUUCGAGCCGUCGGCUGUUCUUCUGGAUGCAGGAACCGAAGACGGAUAAGGAUGAGGAGUGGUGCCGCCGUAUUAACGAGUUGAUCAACAAUUCGCCGUCGUCGAACAAUCUGGGAGAGAGAUCGGGACGCGGCGGAAAUGGAAGCGACAAUGGGGACCUGCAGUACAUCAUGUAAAACAUGUCCCAGCAGCAGCUGAUGCAGUUGUUUGGACGACCGAUGGGAGGAUUGUGCAGCUUGCUAGGGUGGAUGAGAUCGGUAGGAAAAACAUGGCUGAGGCAAUUUAAACACAUCCUUGAGUGCCUUCAGACUUGUGUUUUAUUUGGAAGGGUUCACUGCGGUUCCUCGGAUUCAUCAUCUGAAACGUCCUAGUUAUUAUGCUCCAUAAUUUAACCCAAGAUCAGUCGCAUGCGUGUACAGAGUACACGCACCCUGAGGAAAGGUCGAUUUUCAUAAACAACACGAGCGAGGUGGUGCUGGAGAUGGCUGAAUGCGUGACCGCUCUUGAGUUAAAUAAUUGUUUAGUACAAUAAAAAUGUAUAUAUUAUGCAAUAAAAAGUAAUUGAUGAUUGUCAUGACUCUGUA
This is an RNA transcript of Aedes aegypti (yellow fever mosquito), 1031 nucleotides long. It is a transcript of the gene named proteasomal ubiquitin receptor ADRM1 homolog, with no coding region annotated. Lineage: Eukaryota; Metazoa; Arthropoda; Insecta; Diptera; Culicidae. The transcript is spliced from 2 exons. The record is from RefSeq and is a predicted model, not a curated record.